GUAAUCACUUGCCUUUUAAUUGGAGGCUAGAAUGAAAGUACUGACGGGGGGCCGCUGACUUGACCUUGCCAUUCGAACUUGACCGCGGGGUUAAAAUGCCCCGACGCUCUAGAAGGACGACAAGACCCUAUAAAACUUUACUACCCUCAGUUACUAUCCUAAGUCCACUCGUGAAACUGAACGUAGUUAGGCUGGGGCGGCCAACCCUCUCCGGGAUCGCGACCUAACACCGUGCGUGAUCCCUCGAACAUGAUUGAACAGGAAGACCAAGUUACUUUAGGGAUAACAGCGCAAUAGCUUCGGAGAGCCCCCAUCGAUGAAGGCGUUUGCGACCUCGAUGUUGAAUUGGAGCCCUCCCCGGAGCAACCCCCGGGGGAAGGAGGUCUGUUCGACCUUUGAUUCUCCACGUGAU
This 412-nucleotide ribosomal RNA is filed under the name Excirolana mayana. RNAcentral describes it as "partial 16S ribosomal RNA". It matches the Rfam family "Bacterial large subunit ribosomal RNA", at positions 1956 to 2604 of the family's 2925-position model. Lineage: Eukaryota; Metazoa; Arthropoda; Malacostraca; Isopoda; Cirolanidae. The record is from RNAcentral.